AUUCAAUUAUAAAAGUUUCAAGUUUUGUCUAUCAAUUCAUGAUUACAAUAUGUUAGUGGAGGUAUGUAGGGUCGCAAUGAUGGAAUGAAGGAGAGAAAGGAAAGUGGUUAUAGGGUCCUUUAAAUACCUGCAUGAAUAAUGUUAUUAUUCAAGUCCGAUCCCUACCAUCAUAACCAAUUGUGUGCCAUGGCCCUCCAUUAUUCAAAAUGGUGUUUCCCAACAUCUUUCAAAAAGCCUCAUUAUGUUGCAACAACAAAGGCACAUCUUUCUCAUGCUAACCAAUGGAACAUUCUUCAGCAAAACCCAAGAACUGUUUUUCAGGAUGAUAUAAGCAUUAAUCAUGCAGAGAAACUGAUGGAACUGAAGCAUGCACUACUUAGUGAAAAUAAUAAUUCACUGCAAGGAAUGCAAAUGAUUGAUGCAAUGCAGCGUCUAAAUGUUGAUUACCACUUUCAAGAGGAAAUUCAUUCAUUCUUACAGAGGGACUAUGUCGUCAUUUCCACCACUUUUGGUCAUGGGGGUGCCUUUGCCCAACAUCAUCUUCAUCACCUUGCUCUCUCCUUUCGUCUCUUCAGACAACAAGGUCACUUUGUGCCUCCAGAGGUGUUUGAAAAGUUCAGAGACAAGGAAGGAAAAUUCAGGCAAGAACUAUUAGUAGGAGGAGGAGGAGACAUCGUGAAGGGAAUGAUGGAAUUGUAUGAAGCCUCACAAAUAAGCAUUAAGGGAGAAGACAUGCUAGAUGAAGCUGGAGAAUUCAGUUGCAAGUUCUUGAAGGAAAGGUUGGCUUACCUUGACAAUGAUGAUGAUGAAGGCAAGUUUGUGAGGAGCACUAUUGGAAAUCCUUUCCACAAAAGCUUGCCAAUGUUCACUGCCAGAGAUUUCUUAAGAAACUUUCAUGGUGGCAUGAAUAGUAAUAAUAAUAAUAAUGAAUGGUUUGGUUCCUUAAAAGCACUUGCAAAGAUGGAUUUCACUUUGUUGCAACGCUUACACCAGCAGGAAAUCAUUCAAAUCUCUAAAUGGUGGACAAAACUUGGUUUAGCCAAUGAGUUACAGUAUGCAAGAAAUCAACCAUUGAAAUGGUACAUUUGGUCGUUGGCAUGCCUCUCAGAUCCUAAUUUCUCAGAAGAGAGGAUUGAUCUAACUAAAUCAAUCUCUUUCAUAUACAUAAUAGAUGACAUUUUCGAUGUGUAUGGGACUUUAGAUGAACUCACUCUUUUCACUGAUGCUGUUUCUAGAUGGGAUGUUACAGUUGCUGAUGAGUUACCAGAUUACAUGAGAAUAUGCUUUAGGAUCCUCUACGAUCUUACUAAUGAAAUCAGCUUCAAGAUCUAUCAAAAACAUGGAUGGGACGUCAACAAUUUUCUUAGAAACGCAUGGAAGAGAUUGUGCAAAGCCUUCUUAGUUGAAGCAAAAUGGUUUGCUUCAGGGAAGAGUCCAAGUUCCGAAGAGUACUUGAACAAUGGAAUAAUAAGCUCUGGGGUGCAUAUUGUGCUGGUUCACAUUUUCUUUAUGUUGGGUGAAGGAUUGAGCAGUGAAAAUGUUAAAAUCAUAGACGGAAUCCCAGAUAUAAUUUCUUCUUCGGCAACUAUUCUUCGCCUUUGGGAUGAUUUGGGAAAUGCUGAGGAUGAGAAUCAAGAGGGCAAUGAUGGGUCAUACGUGGAUUGUUUAUUGAUGGAACAGAAAGGGUUGGCAAGGAAAGAAGCAAGAGAGGAAGUUAUGAAUAUGAUCAAUGAUGCAUGGAAGAGGCUCAACCAAGAGUGCUUCUUUGAGAACACAUUCCCUAAGCCAUUCACUAAGGCCUCUCUCAAUCUUGCAAGGAUGGUUCCUUUGAUGUAUAAUUAUGACAACCACCACUCCCUUCCCAUGCUUGAGCCUCAAAUUUGCUCGUUCUUCUUCUCGCGAAGCUUUCUCUGGUUUCUUCGAUCGUUCUUUUUCUCUCCUUUCUCACUCGUUUCUUCUUCGUCAUUUACCCUCUCUCUGUUGUUGAUGACCAGUUUGUUUCCAAGGUUGGAAUGACCUUUAUCACCCUUGAAGAUGCUGAAAAAGUUUACAGGAACUACGCCAAGACUACAGGGUUUUCUACAAGAGUUCGGAGCACAAAUAGGAAGGAAAACGAGAUUAAGAACCAAUUGAUUACAUGUAGCAGAGAGGAAAAAUGGAAAUCUAAAAUAUCUCAAACAGCACAGGGAACUAAGCAUGUCCAUUCGUCGUACAAUAGAGAAUAACGAGGAGGCUGGUAUUAGACUAAGCAAAACUUACCAAUCAUUUGUUGCGGCUGCCGGGGGUCAUCGCGAGUUAAAUUUUAUUGAAAAGGAUGUGAGGAAUUACAUUACGAGAGAAGUGCGAGAAGCGUGGGUGUGCUUAAAGACUCGUUUGAUAGGAAUUGAAAUGAUUUUCUACUGAAUUUUGGUCUUGUGGACAACAAGUGGCUUUCAGAUCUCUAUGAAGACCGUCAUAUAUGGGUUCCAAUCUAUCUGGAUCACCAUUUCUUGACAGGGAUGAGAAGCACACAAAUGAGCGAGAGCAUGCAUUCUUUUGGGUGUAAAAGUAGUGUUCUUUUGGGUGUAUUUCUGAAUUUUCUUGUAUGUCACAUUUUACAUAUAUAUACAUAUAUAUACUUCAGAAUCUUGUUUUUAUGUUAUAAAAUACUGUUUUUUUUACAACGGUUUAAGGGUUUUAGGUAUUAAGGUUUAGGGUUUUAGGGUUUACGAUUUAGGUUUUAGGGUUUACGGGUUAGGGGUUAGGGUUUAGGUUUUAAGUGUUUAGGGUUCAGGAUUUUAGGGAUAAAGCAUCAGGGGAAUAGAUUUUUUGGUGUAUAUUCAACUUUCUUUGGGUGUAAAAAAUGGCAGGUUAUGGGUGUAUAUUUGGUUUGAUAUUUUUCUUCAUAUUAUAGUACCUG
Molecule: RNA transcript, 2899 nt
Organism: Arachis stenosperma
Lineage: Eukaryota; Viridiplantae; Streptophyta; Magnoliopsida; Fabales; Fabaceae
Gene name: (3S,6E)-nerolidol synthase 1-like
Exons: 9
Source: RefSeq, a predicted model, not a curated record